AAACCAACAGGGAUUGCCUUAGUAGCGGCGAGUGAACCGGCAAAAGCUCAGAUUUGAAAGCCUCUUUUGGCAUUGUAUUCUGAAGCCUUGGUCCUGGGACCUGGUGCUUAAGUCUUCUGGAAAGGAGCGCCAUGGAGGGUGAUAGCCCCGUGAAGCACUAACCCCAUUGUAGGAUCUUGGCAUGGAGUCGAGUUGUUUGGGAAUGCAGCUCAAAUGGGUGGUAUGCUCCAUCUAAAGCUAAAUAUCUGCGAGAGACCGAUAGCGAACAAGUACUGUGAAGGAAAGAUGAAAAGAACUUUGAAAAGAGAGUGAAAUAGUACGUGAAAUUGUUGAAAUGGAAGGAUAGGCCGCUAACCACGCAGAGUCGUGUUUAGGGGGAGGACAAAAGCUGUAUACUUCAUCAUUCUUCGGAGUGAUGUCGUUGCGGUGCAUACUCCCACCUGCGCGAGUAUGGAUCUAAGACUCUGCUAAAUGGUGGUCUAUCAC
This 486-nucleotide ribosomal RNA is filed under the name Starmerella floricola. RNAcentral's name for it is "partial 18S ribosomal RNA". It matches the Rfam family "Eukaryotic large subunit ribosomal RNA", at positions 62 to 510 of the family's 3401-position model. Lineage: Eukaryota; Fungi; Ascomycota; Dipodascomycetes; Dipodascales; Trichomonascaceae. The record is from RNAcentral.